This 1527-nucleotide long non-coding RNA is filed under the name Homo sapiens (human). RNAcentral's name for it is "HSALNT0088504". Lineage: Eukaryota; Metazoa; Chordata; Mammalia; Primates; Hominidae. The record is from RNAcentral.
GUUUAAAGCAUUUAAUGAAAUUAUAACCUUUGGAACUUGGUGGUUCACUUCUGAAAUCUAUGGCAAUGUUUUGACAGAUUUCAGAUGAAACAAAAUCUGCAUUCCCAGGUCACACACAAGGACUGUAUGCCAUGCACUCCUAUGACAGCUUGAGUUCACCCUGGAGAGGGGAGGGUUAGAAACCAAAUCCUUAACAAGCCUGCCCUGCAAGACUCAAGACUGUGCAUUAGGAAUGACCUGGUCCCUGCCCACCUCUCCAAAUGGCCUUACCCCAAGUUCAUUCCCUUUGCUCUCUGGAGCUCUGCCAACACAGGCUACUCAGGCCUACUUUCAAUUCCUUUAACACUCACUUCCUCCAGAGGCCUUUGCCCAAGAGUUCCUGCUCCCUGGAAUGUUCUCCUUCCCCAGGCCCCACAACCACUGCCUAGUUUCCUCCUGCUCGGCUUAAUCACACUUCCUUAGGAAAGCCUGGCCGCCCUGACAGGUCAGUUCUGUCUAUUACACACUCUAGUAGUUACGUGUACUUCUCCUAGGGGCUCUUAUCUGAGUUGUAAUUUUUCAUUUAGUUGUAUGUAGGACACAUUACCUGGAGAAUAGUAGGUGCUCAAUAAAUAUUUGUUCACUGCAUGGAAGGGAGGGAGCAAGGGCACUUCAGCCAGACUGGCCUCCUCAUUGUGGUUAACAUCAAGGUGUGCCAGGAGAGCAAUUUCCAACAGCUUAACAUUCACUUGAUUGCUGCCAAGGCCCAUGGGUCUUUCCUUUCCUUUCUAGAAAAGAGUAAAAUCUACUCGAUGAACAUUCAGCAGCAUGGUGUGAAGCUAUUAUGGCCACAUUCUGGAAAUCAUUGCAUUCUUCCAAGCAAAGAAAUAAGAAAAUCUUCCCAAACAAAUGUCAGAAACUUUACCACACUGUCAUACAUGCUGCCUGUAACAUUUGUCUUUUGUUAAUUUUUUUUUUCUGGCUUUCAUCUCAAGUGUCUCUCAAGUUUUGGCAAUUUCAAGUCUUCUAGUUUCCAUGGAAAUAGGAAACAAUGAUCUCUGGGAGAUUAAGAGCGGGGAGAUAUCCACUCUAAUGGAGUUCUAGAGUUUUCUUCCUUUGAUAGUAUUUGUGAAUUGAGAGAAUGUUGGUGUGGAGGCAGGGCUUCGGUGUCAUCAACAAAUCUUUAUUUUUGUGCCUAUAAUGCAUCAGGCAUUGUUCUCUUCCAGGAAUGCCUCCACCUCCAAACUGCUACAUUAAAGAAAGUUUGCAAGUUCCCUGAAGGACAGAUACGGAAGAUUAUAAAACCAGCUUCUAGUUUGUCUCCAUGUGGAAGUUCAGCCUUCUGGCCUCUCCCGCACCUCUUCAGUAUCUAUCCUCCUACCGAGCACCCAUCUGAUGGAUCUCUCCCCACUGCAACCCACCCUCCUCUCCAGGACCACUUUUUCUUGCCUGUAAUUCUGGCCUUAGGAAUGCCCAGAGGAGAUCUGUACCCAAAAAGUAUGUUUGAGCAAAGCUAAGUCUCCAGAAUAAAGAUAAUCCCAAUUUACA